Molecule: ribosomal RNA, 253 nt
Filed under: uncultured bacterium
Lineage: Bacteria
Description: partial 16S ribosomal RNA
Rfam family: Bacterial small subunit ribosomal RNA
Source: RNAcentral
UACGGAGGGUGCAAGCGUUGUUCGGAAUCACUGGGCGUAAAGGGCGUGUAGGCGGUCUGCUAAGUCUGAUGUGAAAUCCCGAGGCUUACCCUCGGAAGUGCAUUGGAGACUGGCAGGCUAGAGUCCCGGAGAGGAGGGUGGAAUUCCUGGUGUAGCGGUGAAAUGCGUAGAGAUCAGGAGGAACACCGGUGGCGAAGGCGGCCCUCUGGACGGUGACUGACGCUGAGACGCGAAAGCGUGGGGAGCAAACAGG